Long non-coding RNA from Oncorhynchus tshawytscha (Chinook salmon), 674 nucleotides. The record is from Ensembl. NCBI's taxonomy places the organism in Eukaryota, Metazoa, Chordata, Actinopteri, Salmoniformes, Salmonidae.
UCUCAUCUCCCUCCCUCUGAGCUGUCUCUCUCUCUCCCCAUAACUCCCACAGGUUUGACAGCUCAUCUCCCUCCCUCUGAGCUGUCUCUCUCUCUCCCCAUAACUCCCACAGGUUUGACAGCUCAUCUCCCUCCCGCAGAGAGAAGAAGAAGAAGACUGGGAAAAAACACAAGCGAGACAGGUGUGUUUACAUGUUUGGUGUGUGUGUGUGUGUGUGUGCGUGUGUGUGUGUGCAUGUGCGUGUGUGUGUGUGUGUGUGUGUGUGUGUGUGUGCCUGCAUGUGAGUCAUAAGGAAGGAGGAGGGAUUUACUAGAGAGAUGGACUUCUGUCUCAUUAAGUUUUCAUGACCAUUCAUAUUGUAGAUUAUAUAUCGAGCCUGUGAGAACCACCGGUUCCACACUAGAAAUAGCCAGAGAAUGUGGACGUACCCAGACGGGCUUCAGCCUGCUUGCGUAACAGGGAAAAGGGGUCCAUCUUACCACAGGACACUUCACAACAUAACUGUCCCAGAAAAAGCUGAGAUGGAAAAUGUAAUGUUGGUGUCGACACUCAGAAAUACCCAACUCAAGCUAUCCUAUAGACCCAAAUAGUACCGGAACCACACAUAAGCAAUCAUUUCCAGACAAUAAAAUAAUAUUGAUAAGGAUGUUGAUAAGGAUAUUGUGAUAAGGUGC